Molecule: transfer RNA, 71 nt
Filed under: Candidatus Izimoplasma sp. HR2
Lineage: Bacteria; Bacillati; Mycoplasmatota; Mollicutes; Candidatus Izemoplasmatales; Candidatus Izemoplasmataceae
Description: Candidatus Izimaplasma sp. HR2 tRNA
Rfam family: tRNA
About the family: Transfer RNA (tRNA) molecules are approximately 80 nucleotides in length.
Source: Rfam by way of RNAcentral
AGGGGCGUAGCAAAAUGGUUAUGCAACGGUCUCCAACACCGUCUACUACGGUUCGAUCCCGUACGCCCCUG